GGGAUUGUAGCUCAGUGGUAGAGCACUUGCCUUGCAAGUAUGAGGUUUUGAUCCUC
RNAcentral lists this transfer RNA (56 nucleotides) under Ictidomys tridecemlineatus (thirteen-lined ground squirrel). RNAcentral's name for it is "Spermophilus tridecemlineatus (thirteen-lined ground squirrel) tRNA". It matches the Rfam family "tRNA". Rfam says of the family: Transfer RNA (tRNA) molecules are approximately 80 nucleotides in length. Lineage: Eukaryota; Metazoa; Chordata; Mammalia; Rodentia; Sciuridae. The record is from Rfam by way of RNAcentral.